GGCAGGGGGGCGGCUACCAUGCAGUCGAGCGAGAACUUCGGUUCUAGCGGCGGACGGGUUAGUAACGCGUGGGAACGUGCCCUUCACUACGGAAUAGUCCCGGGAAACUGGGUUUAAUACCGUAUACGCCCUUCGGGGGAAAGAAUUUCGGUGAAGGAUCGGCCCGCGUUAGAUUAGAUAGUUGGUGGGGUAACGGCCUACCAAGUCUACGAUCUAUAGCUGGUUUUAGAGGAUGAUCAGCAACACUGGGACUGAGACACGGCCCAGACUCCUACGGGAGGCAGCAGUGGGGAAUCUUAGACAAUGGGCGCAAGCCUGAUCUAGCCAUGCCGCGUGAGUGAUGAAGGCCUUAGGGUCGUAAAGCUCUUUCGCCAGGGAUGAUAAUGACAGUACCUGGUAAAGAAACCCCGGCUAACUCCGUGCCAGCAGCCGCGGUAAUACGGAGGGGGUUAGCGUUGUUCGGAAUUACUGGGCGUAAAGCGCGCGUAGGCGGAUUGGAAAGUUGGGGGUGAAAUCCCAGGGCUCAACCCUGGAACUGCCUCCAAAACUAUCAGUCUAGAGUUCGAGAGAGGUGAGUGGAACUCCGAGUGUAGAGGUGAAAUUCGUAGAUAUUCGGAAGAACACCAGUGGCGAAGGCGGCUCACUGGCUCGAUACUGACGCUGAGGUGCGAAAGUGUGGGGAGCAAACAGGAUUAGAUACCCUGGUAGUC
This 710-nucleotide ribosomal RNA is filed under the name Roseovarius sp. RNAcentral's name for it is "bacterial SSU rRNA". It matches the Rfam family "Bacterial small subunit ribosomal RNA", at positions 38 to 795 of the family's 1533-position model. The record is from RNAcentral. Lineage: Bacteria; Pseudomonadati; Pseudomonadota; Alphaproteobacteria; Rhodobacterales; Roseobacteraceae.